UACGGGGGGGGCAAGCGUUGUUCGGAAUUACUGGGCGUAAAGGGCUCGUAGGUGGCCAACUAAGUCAGACGUGAAAUCCCUCGGCUUAACCGGGGAACUGCGUCUGAUACUGGAUGGCUUGAGAUUGGGAGAGGGAUGCGGAAUUCCAGGUGUAGCGGUGAAAUGCGUAGAUAUCUGGAGGAACACCGGUGGCGAAGGCGGCCAACUGGACCACUACUGACGCUGAGACACGAAAGCGUGGGGAGCAAACAGG
RNAcentral lists this ribosomal RNA (253 nucleotides) under uncultured bacterium. RNAcentral describes it as "partial 16S ribosomal RNA". It matches the Rfam family "Bacterial small subunit ribosomal RNA", at positions 524 to 776 of the family's 1533-position model. The record is from RNAcentral.